GAAUAUUGGACAAUGGGCGCAAGCCUGAUCCAGCCAUCCCGCGUGCAGGAUGACAGCCCUAUGGGUUGUAAACUGCUUUUCUUUGGGAAGAAACCCCGGAUUUCUAUCUGGGCUGACGGUACCAAAGGAAUAAGCGCCGGCUAACUCCGUGCCAGCAACCGCGGUAAUACGGAGGGUGCAAGCGUUAUCCGGAUUCACUGGGUUUAAAGGGUGCGUAGGCGGGCUAUUAAGUCAGUGGUGAAAGCUCCCGGCCCAACCGGGAAAUUGCCAUUGAUACUGAUAGCCUUGAGUGCAGUUGAGGUGGGCGGAAUACAGCAUGUAGCGGUGAAAUGCUUAGAUAUGCUGUAGAACACCGAUUGCGAAGGCAGCUCACUAAACUGAUACUGACGCUGAGGCACGAAAGCGUGGGGAGCGAACAGG
This 420-nucleotide ribosomal RNA is filed under the name uncultured bacterium. RNAcentral describes it as "bacterial SSU rRNA". It matches the Rfam family "Bacterial small subunit ribosomal RNA", at positions 359 to 776 of the family's 1533-position model. The record is from RNAcentral.